UCCUGAAACAACCCAAACCACAGUGUCAACACUAUUUCCACACAGGGCUUUCCCCAUUCUACCUGGGUUGUGGUCUUACUCUGUAAGGAGACAAAUGGCCACUCCUGACAUUUGGUCCCAUUUCCAAAGUAAAGUUUCCCAUUUGGUGUCCUGGAUGACAAAGGGCAUAGGGCUGUGUUCCCACACCAUCAGAAACUGGAUCACAGGUUCCAAUCCUCCCCCACCCCCCACUCCUGAAACUCUCCAUUCUUCAAGGCUGCUGAUUUGGGCUCAAGUGUCAGAAGGAAAACCCUAAGAUUGAACUGAUCUGAAAGAAUGAGAGUAAGUAAGCACACACAGGGGGUCGCCCUUGCCAAGUGCCUAUGUACUUACUCCCCCUCGGGAGACCCCAGCUCUCAGUGCCUUAGCCCUGGACCUAAAAAGCCUACCGAGCAUUUUCUGCAGGUGACAGUAAAGACUGGCUGAAUGAGGAAAGCAAUUCCAGAUGCUGGCAACUGUGCAGUUUUCCACAGUAGAAUCUACCUCGAGCCCCAAGUUGACAACCACUGCUGAGGAUUCCAGGAAGAGAUGGGAGCAGGCCGAAUAAUUGCUGCUCAAGUCCACAGUGGAGCCCCAGCCCUGCCACGAGCCAGCUCCAGAACGUUGGGCAAUCCUGCCCUCGUCUGGACCUGUAAGAGAGAGCUACUAUACUGCUCGCCUGCCAGGGCUGCUGGUCAUCAUUAGGCUCUCCAAGCACAGUGGGUAACUUCCAUUGCCUCAUUUCACUUUCAGUCUGCUCUCACAAGGACAUACUGGAACACUGCAUUUCAGACAAGGAAACUGAGACCCGGCUGAAGGAAGGUCUUGAGUACUCAACUGGUACAGGAUCACACAGUUGGCUGGUGGUCAAAUUGAAAUUUCAGGUAUAGAUUUCAGACUUCUGGGGUGCCUGGGUGGCUUAGUCGGUUAAGAGUCCGGCUUCAACCCAGGUCGUGAUCUCAUGGUUCGUGAGUUCUAGCCCCAUAUCGCCUCAGGCUCUCUGCUAUCAACGCAGAGCCAGCUCUGGAUCUUCUUUCCCCUUCUCUCUCUCUGCCCCUUCCCUGCUCACGUGUUCUCUCUCUCUCUC
Molecule: long non-coding RNA, 1105 nt
Organism: Neofelis nebulosa (Clouded leopard)
Lineage: Eukaryota; Metazoa; Chordata; Mammalia; Carnivora; Felidae
Exons: 2
Source: RefSeq, a predicted model, not a curated record